Long non-coding RNA from Bos taurus (domestic cattle), 319 nucleotides. Lineage: Eukaryota; Metazoa; Chordata; Mammalia; Artiodactyla; Bovidae. The record is from Ensembl.
GGUCGAGGAGCUAAGAUCCCAUCUGCCCCAGGGCAAGUAGAGAGCCCCUGUGUUACCACUAGAGAAGUGUGAGCGCCGCAACUACUGAGCUGGAGGAAAUUUUAUAGGUGUCAAUAGAUUCAGUGAUGUGCCUUAACGCAUGUGAAAACCAGGCUUGCCAGCUGCUGUUCAGAGAAAAUGGCUCUCUACAACUAGAAAAUCAACCCAGGACUGUGGAAGAAGAGAGCAGAGAAUCAGGACUUGGACUCUUCACUGCCAGAGUCUCCUGCCUAACCUCGAGAUACAUCCAUAAACCUAAAUUAGAAAAAUAGUUAUCAAG